This 371-nucleotide long non-coding RNA is filed under the name Chinchilla lanigera (long-tailed chinchilla). Its description in RNAcentral is "lncRNA (ENSCLAG00000027180.1)". The record is from RNAcentral. Lineage: Eukaryota; Metazoa; Chordata; Mammalia; Rodentia; Chinchillidae.
AACAACCUCUCUGGCUCAAUACUGUGCUCCCUCUGAGGCUCCCUCUGUCACUCCACUCUCCAUUCCAGCUGACCUGGAGAAGGAACGCCUGGGGAGCCCAGACCAAGAUCUACACCUUCCAGUGCCUGCAGCUCUCAGCGUGAGGUCGAGUGCUAAGAAAAUGUGGAUGCACGGAAAAGCAGGAAGGCAGAGGGCAAAACUGAUAGAUGCAGUGGACAAGAGGGGUGCUACGUGGAUGGCAGUAAGAGACAGGCAUUUGCUGUUUGGAAGGACAAAACCAGGCUGUUAUUCUCGGAAGCUGGAUGGAUGAGUGGGUGAGUGACAACCGGAUGGAAGGAGGGGGCUGACCAAGGUCUGAGAGAUGCAGAUGA